Small nucleolar RNA from Phoenix dactylifera (date palm), 86 nucleotides. The record is from RefSeq and is a predicted model, not a curated record. Lineage: Eukaryota; Viridiplantae; Streptophyta; Magnoliopsida; Arecales; Arecaceae.
GAGCACAUGAUGAUAUUAAAAUACAAUUAACUCUGAGAUUUAUGUCUUUGAAGUGUCAAAAUCGAGCUUUUUAGGGCUGAUGCUCG